GACGAACGCUGGCGGCGUGCUUAACACAUGCAAGUCGAGCGGUAAGGCCCUUUCGGGGUACGACGAGCGGCGAACGGGUAGGAGUAACAACGUGGGUGGACCUCGCCCUCCAGCUCUGGGAGUAAGACCUCGGGAAACGUAGGGUCGUAAUAACUGGAUAUGACUCCACGGUGCAUGUCGUGGGGUGGGAAAGACCUUGUGCGGCUGAGGAUGGGCCCGGCCGGCCUAUCAGC
Molecule: ribosomal RNA, 233 nt
Filed under: uncultured bacterium
Lineage: Bacteria
Description: partial 16S ribosomal RNA
Rfam family: Bacterial small subunit ribosomal RNA
Source: RNAcentral